CCAUGGCGAUGGCGAACGAGAAGAAGGUUUGGGCAUCUGGUUUCCUUCGUGAAGCGGCUACUGAAGGAGGGACAUUGCGUUGUCGGGGUACUUAAGCUAAUCGAUUCUACUUAGAAAUUGCUUUUCUUGUUUGUGCGAGCUUCCGGGGGAGAGAAAGAAGGCUGACUUUGUCACGGAAUUAGCCGCCUUUGACGAUAUUGUCCAAGUUUUCCAUCUCGCGGGCCGUGACUUUCAGCUACAAGGAGUUCUUCUUCCAGACCGAGAUUGUUGAUCCAUGCGUGCUUGGAACUCUGAACGUGCUCAAUGCCUGGAAACAAUCCACAAAGUCAAGCGAGUGGUGUGCACGUCAUCCGUGGCUUCUGUUAGUGCGAGGAACAACUUGAUGAAUCGGUGUGGAGCUCCCCAGACUGCUGCCGUGAGAUUGAGUCCAAAUGUGGUAUGGUCUGGGAAAGACUCUACCCGAGCAAGCAGCACUCGAGUUUGGGAAAGAAAACGGCAUAGAGGUGAUCACAAUCGCUCCCAGCGUCGUGGGAGAACUUCU
Selaginella moellendorffii is the source of this 541-nucleotide long non-coding RNA. RefSeq lists it as uncharacterized. The transcript has 3 exons. Lineage: Eukaryota; Viridiplantae; Streptophyta; Lycopodiopsida; Selaginellales; Selaginellaceae. The record is from RefSeq and is a predicted model, not a curated record.